This 793-nucleotide ribosomal RNA is filed under the name uncultured archaeon. RNAcentral's name for it is "bacterial SSU rRNA". It matches the Rfam family "Archaeal small subunit ribosomal RNA", at positions 85 to 879 of the family's 1478-position model. The record is from RNAcentral.
ACGGCUCAGUAACACGUAGUCAACAUGCCCAGGGGACGUGGAUAACCUCGGGAAACUGAGGAUAAACCACGAUAGGCCAUAAUUCCUGGAAUGGCUUAUGGCUGAAAUCUAUAUGGCCCCUGGAUUGGACUGCGGCCGAUCAGGCUGUUGGUGAGGUAAUGGCCCACCAAACCUAUAACCGGUACGGGCUCUGAGAGGAGAAGCCCGGAGAUGGGCACUGAGACAAGGGCCCAGGCCCUAUGGGGCGCAGCAGGCGCAGAAACCUCUGCAAUAGGCGAAAGCCUGACAGGGUUACUCUGAGUGAUUUCCGUUAAGGAGAUCUUUUGGCACCUCUAAAAAUGGUGCAGAAUAAGGGGUGGGCAAAGUCUGGUGUAUGCCGCCGCGGUAAUACCAGCACCCCGAGUGGUCGGGACGUUUAUUGGGCCUAAAGCAUCCGUAGCCGGUUCUACAAGUCUUCCGUUAAAUCCACCUGCUUAACAGAUGGGCUGCGGAAGAUACUAUAGAGCUAGGAGGCGGGAGAGGCAAGCGGUACUCGAUGGGUAGGGGUAAAAUCCGUUGAUCCAUUGAAGACCACCAGUGGCGAAGGCGGCUUGCCAGAACGCGCUCGACGGUGAGGGAUGAAAGCUGGGGGAGCAAACCGGAUUAGAUACCCGGGUAGCCCCAGCUGUAAACGAUGCAGACUCGGUGAUGAGUUGGCUUUAUGCCAACUCAGUGCCGCAGGGAAGCCGUUAAGUUUGCCGCCUGGGGAGUACGGUCGCAAGACUGAAACUUAAAGGAAUUGGCGGGGGAGCAC